RNAcentral lists this ribosomal RNA (444 nucleotides) under uncultured bacterium. RNAcentral's name for it is "partial 16S ribosomal RNA". It matches the Rfam family "Bacterial small subunit ribosomal RNA", at positions 355 to 791 of the family's 1533-position model. The record is from RNAcentral.
UAGGGAAUCUUCCACAAUGGACGAAAGUCUGAUGGAGCAACGCCGCGUGAGUGAUGAAGGGUUUCGGCUCGUAAAACUCUGUUGUUGGAGAAGAACGGGUGUCAGAGUAACUGUUGACAUCGUGACGGUAUCCAACCAGAAGCCACGGCUAACUACGUGCCAGCAGCCGCGGUAAUACGUAGGUGGCAAGCGUUGUCCGGAUUUAUUGGGCGUAAAGCGAGCGCAGGCGGUUUUUUAGGUCUGAUGUGAAAGCCUUCGGCUUAACCGGAGAAGUGCAUCGGAAACCGGGAGACUUGAGUGCAGAAGAGGACAGUGGAACUCCAUGUGUAGCGGUGAAAUGCGUAGAUAUAUGGAGGAACACCGGUGGCGAAAGCGGCUCUCUGGUCUGUAACUGACGCUGAGGCUCGAAAGCGUGGGGAGCGAACAGGAUUAGAUACCCUUGGU